RNAcentral lists this ribosomal RNA (439 nucleotides) under uncultured bacterium. RNAcentral's name for it is "partial 16S ribosomal RNA". It matches the Rfam family "Bacterial small subunit ribosomal RNA", at positions 338 to 795 of the family's 1533-position model. The record is from RNAcentral.
CCUACGGGAGGCAGCAGUGGGGGAUAUUGCACAAUGGGCGAAAGCCUGAUGCAGCGACGCCGCGUGAGGGAAGACGGUCUUCGGAUUGUAAACCUCUGUCUUUGGGGAAGAAGAUGACGGUACCCAAAGAGGAAGCUCCGGCUAACUACGUGCCAGCAGCCGCGGUAAUAGGUAGGGAGCGAGCGUUGUCCGGAAUUACUGGGUGUAAAGGGAGCGUAGGCGGGGAGGCAGGUUGGAUGAUUAAACUAUCGGCUCAACCGGUAAUUGCAACCAAAACUGCAACUCUUGAGUGAAGGAGAGGAAGGCGGAGUUCGUAGUGUGGCGGUGAAAUGCGUAGAUAUGAGGAGGAACACCAGUGGCGAAGGCGGCCUGCUGGGCUUUAACUGACGCUGAGGCUCGAAAGCGUGGGGAGCGAACAGGAGUAGAUACCCGGGUAGUC